CUGGACUUGCAGUUUUAAAAGUAUUUGCAAGUGCUUUACCACAGACCUUAUUGUAAAAUUAAGAACAGUGGGUGGAGUAUUUGAUUUUUUUCGGGGAAAGUUUACAGGUGGUGAUGUCUUUCUAUUAGGAGACUUUAAAAUUUUAAGUAGCACUUUAAAGCAUUCAAUUUCUCCUUGUGAAUCAACCAUUCAACUCUUCACUUGAUACAUAUUAUUGAUUUAUUAUAUGAACCAGACAUGUCCUAAAUACAAGGUCAACCGAGAAGUCUGUUCUCACAGAUAUUACUCUAGAAGAGGAAAACAAUACACACAUGCUAUACUAUAUAUAUCAGUACGUUCAAAGGCUGAUUGAAAUAUACACUUAUUAUUUAAAUUUUUAAAAAAUGACUAUAGUAAAAGACACUGUCAUUAAUCAACCUCAGAAUAUCCCCACUUGUUUCAAAAGCACUAAUCCCAUUGUUCUCAUUACUUUUAGAAGAAGCCAGAAGUCUUCUUUGAUGAGUGUCCUUACUCUGAAGGAUCAAAAAUAUGGUGAUGCUGAGCCCAGGGCGCAUGCAAUGGAAAUGCAGUUUCUGUAAUUGGAAGACGGUGGAUUAUCAAUAAAAGGCACCAUCUAUAAUUUUCAAAAUUGAUGUGAUCGGAAGACGAUCAAACAGAAUAUCAACCAAGCA
Molecule: long non-coding RNA, 671 nt
Organism: Fukomys damarensis (Damara mole-rat)
Lineage: Eukaryota; Metazoa; Chordata; Mammalia; Rodentia; Bathyergidae
Source: Ensembl